CAUCUUGCACAGCGGUAAAUUUGUAAGGGGCUAUACUUCAUAGAAAACUACUUUGGGUGUAUUUUUUAAAUAAUAAAGGUGAUUCCAUUAUGACAUGGAGUAUCAUUCUUUAAAUUGCUGUUCCAAGAUGGCGGAGAUGAACUAUAAUGAAGAUUAUGGAUCUGAAUUUGAUGAGCAAGAGUCUAAAAGAACAUGGAAAGAUGAUGAACUUUCUGGUAUCAAAAGGAAGAGCAACNCGACUACAGGUGUGACUUCAAAGAAGUUCAUGACAGAGGAAUAUAGCAGGGUAGAAGGAAGGAAUCAAAGGUUCCAUUUUCUUGCAUUAGAUGCUUAUUCAAGGCACAAAAAGAUGAUAAAUGAUUAUCUGUUGUACUAUGGACCAGGAAUUGAACAUUUCAAAAGAGACAGUGCACAAGUCUUACUUUUUGGUUACAUGCAAGACCUUUUAGAGACAUCUAAACUGGAACUGUUUGCAAUACUUGGUAAAGAAGGCUCUUCUUGUGGUGCAAUUUCAACAAGAAUCACUGUACCUUUAUUGGAGCUCUCAUGUUUUCUUCCUUAUGGACCAAACAAUGGCCGUUUAAAAGCCUACUCCAUUACAAAGUGUAUUUUGUCAUGUUUCCUUCCAAAACUAACAAAGGUCUUUGGUUGUAAAUGUUGCUGUCAUAAACUUGUUAGGUCCUACCAUAUUAAAAACAUAUUCUUUUACAUGCUUAAAAACUAUGAGGAAGAUAUUCACUGGCAAGAUGACAAAGUCCCUCUACGUGUUUUAGAAAUAUUUUUAAUUUUGAGGCAAUGCAUGGAACUUUCUGAUGAGGAAUCCAGCAAUGAUGCUGCUAUUUCAACAUUUUGUUUGCCUGGAACUCUGUACUUGGAGAAUGUUACCAAUUCAAGUCCAUACUAUGCAGAUGAAGGUGGAAGUGAAUUCUUUUUCACUCCAGAUUCUCAUAAGCCCAGGUAUCAACUGAGUUCAUCACCAGUGUUUGAAGAGUAUCUUACAACUGGAAAUGAUGAAGCUGAUGGUGCACUGAGGGAAUGGUUUAACACGUUAAAUAGCAAACCUUGGAACUCAAAACAACUUUUGCAAGAUCUGAUAACCUUAUUAGAUAGGUUAAAUGAAAUCAUCCCUUAAGAUAGUAAAACAGUUUUUACUUUAUCAAAUGCUGGCUAUAAUGACAUUAGAUAUUUAGUGGAAAGACGUUUAGUAUGGUCUGUGGUGAAAUUCAGCUGUCAACAAUGUACCAACCCAAGUAUGUUUGAUGUGUCUAAAUGAGAUGAGACCACCAUUUUAAGUGGUCAUCCAAUCCAUGGUGAAGGUCUAACCAUUUGGAACUAUUUUUAGAGCAAAGACAGCACCUUCUACUCAGUUUUGAGUGUUGGUCCAGCCAAGGCUUUAACCAAAACCUAGAGCACAAUAAUGUCCAGCCAGAAGGGGGAUUUUUGAGCCAUUUCCAACUUUGCAUGAUCCUUACAAACAUGGACUCUUAAAGGUCUUUUCAUUAUAAUUAUUUCUACCUUAGUGUCUGAUUUUGCUAGUUCUAGAGAUGCUACUGACUUAGAUGUUCUUCGAAAGGAGCACAGGUUUAUCUGGAAUGAGAAUGAAGACUCAG
Molecule: unclassified non-coding RNA, 1610 nt
Filed under: Actinia tenebrosa (Australian red waratah sea anemone)
Lineage: Eukaryota; Metazoa; Cnidaria; Anthozoa; Actiniaria; Actiniidae
Description: protein FRA10AC1-like, transcript variant X2
Source: RNAcentral